AGAACUUCCAGGUCCAUCAUGGUGGCCCAAAGCCAUGGUUUCCUCUUGGAGAACCAUCUCAAGACCUUCAAGGUGGCCCAAAGCCAUGACUUCAUCUUGGAGAACCCCGUGUCCCCGUCCCAUCCCCAUGUCCCCAAGACCCCAUAUCCCAGUGUCCCCAUGUCCCCAAGACCCCCAUCCCCCUGUCCCCAUGUCCCCCUGUCCCCCAUCCCCACCACCCCAAUAAAUCCUGGUGAACGCUG
This is a long non-coding RNA of Cygnus olor (mute swan), 242 nucleotides long. RefSeq lists it as uncharacterized. NCBI's taxonomy places the organism in Eukaryota, Metazoa, Chordata, Aves, Anseriformes, Anatidae. The transcript has 2 exons. The record is from RefSeq and is a predicted model, not a curated record.